GAAUUAUUAAACUUGCAGUUUGUUUUGAUCCCCGAUUGUUGCAAAGAAGAGGAGAAAGUGGAUUGAUAGAUGCAGGGCUGCACAAGGUACUGAAAAAGGGACAGUGCUUUGAGUGAAUGUGUUAUCCAUGUAUCUGCAAAUGAAGCAGAUCCCCCAGUUAUUAUACUCAUGAUGAGUGUGACAACUUCCAACUUCCAAGUUGUUAAUGACGGAACUCCAUUUAAAUCAGAUGCUCCUUUCCAUCUGAUGUUUUCCAGGUUUUUGUGAAAAGUUUUCUUAAAAAUGGCACCAUUCAACCACAAAUACUAUGCCAGUGGAACUGUGAUAUCAAUC
Long non-coding RNA from Saccostrea echinata, 333 nucleotides. RefSeq lists it as uncharacterized. NCBI's taxonomy places the organism in Eukaryota, Metazoa, Mollusca, Bivalvia, Ostreida, Ostreidae. The transcript is spliced from 3 exons. The record is from RefSeq and is a predicted model, not a curated record.